GGGGGCGAAACGGAUUCGACGGGGAUAUUGAAGCUUAUUGUUGCAUGCCGAGUUGUCAUCAGCUCGUAACCUUGAUGGCCUUUAAAUAUAAUCGCAGACGAUUAUAAUUACGCACUCGCAGCGUAGACUGCAGUGCCGUUCCACCAGCUUCUGCCUGCAUAGCUGGAACCGGAGCGUCGACUUGCGGGCUGGCUGUUUGAGUACGCCUGAGACUUAAACAGUAAGAUCUUUUCUGGCUGGCUCCCGGCUAUCCCUGUUUCGGGUGAGCCCCGGGAGCAAGAUACUAUCCCGAAACUAAGCAUGUAGAGACAUAAGGGGAGAAUUUCCGGACGCGGGUUCGACUCCCGCCGCCUCCACCA
This 359-nucleotide transfer-messenger RNA is filed under the name Desulfobulbus propionicus. It matches the Rfam family "transfer-messenger RNA". Rfam says of the family: Bacterial tmRNA, also known as 10Sa RNA or SsrA, is named for its dual tRNA and mRNA-like properties. Its role is to liberate the mRNA from a stalled ribosome. RNAcentral also lists the same sequence under 1 other name. Lineage: Bacteria; Pseudomonadati; Thermodesulfobacteriota; Desulfobulbia; Desulfobulbales; Desulfobulbaceae. The record is from RNAcentral.